GUUCGGUUAGGAUCAAUACUUGUAAUCAAUAAGGAUUCCUCGAGUUCAAUUUGAUGGUAUGAACAAUUGCAGAUAAAAUAUCAUUUAAAAAAAAAAAUUGCAGAUACCUGCAAAGCACUGGAAACGGACAGCUUAUGAGACUCCUUUAGUUUUUUUGGGGGGUAAGGGAGGCUGAAGGGAGCAGCCACCCAUCUUUUAUUAAAAGCCA
This 208-nucleotide long non-coding RNA is filed under the name Elaeis guineensis (African oil palm). RNAcentral describes it as "long non-coding RNA (EGUI_LNC021205)". Lineage: Eukaryota; Viridiplantae; Streptophyta; Magnoliopsida; Arecales; Arecaceae. The record is from RNAcentral.